This 253-nucleotide ribosomal RNA is filed under the name uncultured bacterium. RNAcentral's name for it is "partial 16S ribosomal RNA". It matches the Rfam family "Bacterial small subunit ribosomal RNA", at positions 524 to 776 of the family's 1533-position model. The record is from RNAcentral.
UACAGAGGGGGCGAGCGUUGUUCGGAAUUACUGGGCGUAAAGCGUGCGCAGGCGGUUUUGUAAGCCAGAUGUGAAAUCCCCGGGCUUAACCUGGGAAUGGCAUUUGGGACUGCAAGGCUCGAGUGCGGCAGAGGAGACUGGAAUUCCUGGUGUAGCAGUGAAAUGCGUAGAUAUCAGGAGGAACACCGAUGGCGAAGGCAGGUCUCUGGGCUGACACUGACGCUCAUGCACGAAAGCGUGGGGAGCAAACAGG